This 860-nucleotide long non-coding RNA is filed under the name Brassica napus (rape). Its description in RNAcentral is "long non-coding RNA (BNAP_LNC016066)". Lineage: Eukaryota; Viridiplantae; Streptophyta; Magnoliopsida; Brassicales; Brassicaceae. The record is from RNAcentral.
UUAUCUUUUCUCUGCAAAAAAAAAACACAAAAACACCAAUAUCACACCACCUAAAAGUCAAGAGAACGUCUCAGAAGCAGAUUCUAAAAUAAAGCAUUCUAAUUCCUGAAGCAACAAAUUCCACUAAACAUACACUAUGAUUCCAUCACUUAAUUAGCCUUGUGUAUACACCACCACAUAAAUACGACAAAGAUCAAUCAAAUUCCGCACACCUCUCAGACAAAACUUUAUAGAAUCUGACAGAGUAGAAGUGAUUAUAUUCUUUCAUAAAUGUAUUGGAAAAAUCUUUGACCAACAUCAUAGUUGCAUAACCAAACACAUGGGAUUGUUUUUUGGUUCAUUAACUAAUUGACAAACCGUGAUGAUCAAAUUCUUGAUGAAAUCUUAAUAACUCUACAACUUCUGAGAGGAUGAUAAAUAAAUGUGUAUAUGUGCAAGGAUGAUGUUUAUCAAAGACUUUGUUUGUCGAGAUAUACCUAUUAAUUUAGCUAGUACACUUUUCUGUGUCCAUGUUAAUAUUUUUUUCUAAUGAUCAGCGUAAUAAUGUCAAAAAAAAGAUCAGCGUAAAAACGCGUUUCUAUUAUCAAAAUGUCUUGCUAACUUUGUAGUUAAUGAUAUAACGUUAAUGUAUUGUAUUUUGUACGUUGGUAAUAUAACUUUUCCUAGUGAAAUUAAAUUGGACUGACCUUUAUUCAAAUCAAUUAUAUUGCUGCCACAUAAGCAAAAUUAAGAUGUAAGAAACCGACACAUCAGCAAGCUUGUAUUGUAAAUAUUAUAAAAUAGAAGGUUACAAUUUUUUAAUGAUCCUCAAAUAAUAUAUAGGAGAUGAUGGUUAUAUGUUCUAAUUUUCCUUCUUUCUU